AUUUCGUCGUAUUUCAACGGAAAAAAAAAACACUAGCGCUUUAUAAUAUUUUAAUAUUACUAUUAUAUUUUGCUCCCCAGAGGGUUAUUUUUUUUACGUGUUUACGGAAUAUUCAUCUGAAUAUCAGUUUCACCCGAGGGUAAAUGAUUAAACGCCAAUGCAUAAAAUGUGAAAUAAUUGUAAAACGAAUAUUAGCACAUACCUGGAAUAGGGCAAAAUAUGUUUUAAUGAUUCUAUUGAAAAAAUACAAUUUGCGGU
Cinara cedri is the source of this 258-nucleotide non-coding RNA. NCBI's taxonomy places the organism in Eukaryota, Metazoa, Arthropoda, Insecta, Hemiptera, Aphididae. The record is from the annotation of a GenBank genome assembly.